Molecule: ribosomal RNA, 484 nt
Filed under: uncultured Clostridium sp.
Lineage: Bacteria; Bacillati; Bacillota; Clostridia; Eubacteriales; Clostridiaceae
Description: bacterial SSU rRNA
Rfam family: Bacterial small subunit ribosomal RNA
Source: RNAcentral
AGAGUUUGAUCCUGGCUCAGGACGAACGCUGGCGGCGUGCCUAACACAUGCAAGUCGAGCGAUGAAGUUUCCUUCGGGAAAUGGAUUAGCGGCGGACGGGUGAGUAACACGUGGGUAACCUGCCUUAUAGUGGGGGAUAGCCUUCCGAAAGGAAGAUUAAUACCGCAUAAGAUUGUAGUAUCGCAUGAUAUAGCAAUUAAANGGAGCAAUCCGCUAUAAGAUGGACCCGCGUCGCAUUAGCUAGUUGGUGAGGUAAUGGCUCACCAAGGCGACGAUGCGUAGCCGACCUGAGAGGGUGAUCGGCCACAUUGGGACUGAGACACGGCCCAGACUCCUACGGGAGGCAGCAGUGGGGAAUAUUGCACAAUGGGCGAAAGCCUGAUGCAGCAACGCCGCGUGAGUGAUGACGGCCUUCGGGUUGUAAAACUCUGUCUUCAGGGACGAUAAUGACGGUACCUGAGGAGGAAGCCACGGCUAACUACGU